RNAcentral lists this ribosomal RNA (469 nucleotides) under Penicillium dipodomyicola. RNAcentral's name for it is "eukaryotic LSU rRNA". The stretch from base 119 to 271 matches the Rfam family "5.8S ribosomal RNA". The record is from RNAcentral. Lineage: Eukaryota; Fungi; Ascomycota; Eurotiomycetes; Eurotiales; Aspergillaceae.
CGGCGGGCCCGCCUUAACUGGCCGCCGGGGGGCUCACGCCCCCGGGCCCGCGCCCGCCGAAGACACCCUCGAACUCUGUCUGAAGAUUGUAGUCUGAGUGAAAAUAUAAAUUAUUUAAAACUUUCAACAACGGAUCUCUUGGUUCCGGCAUCGAUGAAGAACGCAGCGAAAUGCGAUACGUAAUGUGAAUUGCAAAUUCAGUGAAUCAUCGAGUCUUUGAACGCACAUUGCGCCCCCUGGUAUUCCGGGGGGCAUGCCUGUCCGAGCGUCAUUGCUGCCCUCAAGCACGGCUUGUGUGUUGGGCCCCGUCCUCCGAUUCCGGGGGACGGGCCCGAAAGGCAGCGGCGGCACCGCGUCCGGUCCUCGAGCGUAUGGGGCUUUGUCACCCGCUCUGUAGGCCCGGCCGGCGCUUGCCGAUCAACCCAAAUUUUUAUCCAGGUUGACCUCGGAUCAGGUAGGGAUACCCGCU